This 791-nucleotide long non-coding RNA is filed under the name Anser cygnoides (Swan goose). RNAcentral's name for it is "lncRNA (ENSACDG00005003728.1)". The record is from RNAcentral. Lineage: Eukaryota; Metazoa; Chordata; Aves; Anseriformes; Anatidae.
AAAUAAACAGUGAAACUCUUCUCUCUUGCCCUUCUGGCCUGAUUUGAUUUAUUCAGAAAGGCUGAAAAAACUAGUCUUAUUUUAAGAUACUCUUACAAGAGACCUGGAAUUUCAUUUAACAAUUUUUUUUAUGUAAUAGAUCCAGUGGCCUAGUUUCGUGUUAAUUAAGAAAAUAGGCAUUAAAUGCAGUCACCUGAAAAGCAACUAAUGAUUUAAACAUCAGAAUUUGAAAAUAAUUGUUUUAACACCAUAGCUAGUAAAGCAAAAUAAAGGCCUAAUUUUCCCCUCGCUGAAGUUGAGCGGCCCAUCUUGGUACAUGGCAGCCAGGAUUGUCAUUGUCAUUGCUCAUGCAGUGUAGUUGCUUUUGUUGUGGUGUACUAAUUGAAGGGGAAAUGCAAUGAAGAAGUGUCGCAGGGCUUAAAGGAAAUGCGUGUCAGAAUUGCAUAGAUGGCCUGAAGCGUUCGCUGGUUGCAGACCUGCUCCAGUGUGGGAGGCGGCUCGCGCUGGUGCGCCGUGAGAGGAGUCGGGCGGUGGGGCAGUCUCAGGCCAGGCACACAGGUUCGGAGUGAGUUCCGAUCUGGGAGACUGUACAGGCACACUGUGUACAAGUCACAGAGUUCAGAUAACAGAUUUAAAUGGAGGUCCCUUUGGAGGCUACCGUAACCACCUCUGCUUUAGCAAAUAAAAAUAUAAUUAGCACAAGGAAUAGAAGUACGACAGGCUUGGCACAGCUUCUGGAUCAAGAGUCACGUUGCAGGCCAAGCCAGACGGGAAAGCAAUACAAGCUGUGA